CUAGCUGUAAACGAUGGAUACUAGGCGUUGAGAGUAUCGACCCUCUCAGUGUCGUAGCUAACGCGUUAAGUAUCCCGCCUGGGGAGUACGCGCGCAAGCGUGAAACUCAAAGGAAUUGACGGGGGCCCGCACAAGCGGUGGAGUAUGUGGUUUAAUUCGAUGCAACGCGAAGAACCUUACCAGGGCUUGACAUGUCCGGAACCCUGCCCAAAGGCGGGGGUGCCUAUGGGAACCGGAACACAGGUGGUGC
RNAcentral lists this ribosomal RNA (250 nucleotides) under uncultured Chroococcidiopsis sp. Its description in RNAcentral is "partial 16S ribosomal RNA". It matches the Rfam family "Bacterial small subunit ribosomal RNA", at positions 796 to 1044 of the family's 1533-position model. The record is from RNAcentral. Lineage: Bacteria; Bacillati; Cyanobacteriota; Cyanophyceae; Chroococcidiopsidales; Chroococcidiopsidaceae.